This 1135-nucleotide ribosomal RNA is filed under the name Kiusiunum sp. MPE04845. RNAcentral's name for it is "partial large subunit ribosomal RNA". It matches the Rfam family "Eukaryotic large subunit ribosomal RNA", at positions 129 to 773 of the family's 3401-position model. The record is from RNAcentral. Lineage: Eukaryota; Metazoa; Arthropoda; Diplopoda; Polydesmida; Cryptodesmidae.
GUUGGCAGAGUGCAAUGUGGUGUUCGGGAGAGGUCAAUCUUGCGGAGAGCUCGGUGUCCAAGUCCCCCUGACUGGGGCCAUUGCCCGCUGGGGGUGCAAGGCCUGUUGGGCAGGGCUGGGUCUCUGAUCUCCGCAAGUGCGGCCUCUUCCUUGGAGUCGGGUUGCUUGAGAGUGCAGCCCAAAGUGGGUGGUAAACUCCACCUAAGGCUAAAUACUUUCCACGAGACCGAUAGCAAACAAGUACCGUGAGGGAAAGUUGCAAAGAACUUUGAAGAGAGAGUUCAAGAGUGCGUGAAACCGUUUGGAGGUAAACGGGUGGGAGCGCGAAGGUCGAACGGAUGGGGAGGGAUUCAACUUGGCGCGGCGGUCGCCUUGGCUGUGCGGCGUGAGCGGGGGCCAGCGCCUCCACCUCGUGUGGUGGUGACGUCCCGCUUCGCACGCUGGCCGAGUUGACGGUCCGCCGUGCCUUGUGCAAUUCCCGCUUCCCCCUCUCCUAGUAGGACGCCGCGACCGGCUGUUGUGUUCGGGCCCAGGAGCUGGGUGGAGCAGCUGCGCGGACGAGUUGUGGGAUUCGUUCCCUGCGUCCGGUCUGUCUGUCUCCGCCCGACUGCGGGUGGCCCGCCACGGCCGAGGAACUUUGACGGCGAGUUGAGUCUCCACUCGGGGAUUCCUCGUCCUGUCGUCGCGCCCUUUGAUUUGGCGGUGCGGGUCGAAAGAUCCUCACGGGUGGCGGUGAACGGGUGUGCGCCGGUCCUAGUGGCCGCGUCGUGCGCCCGUCCCACGUCAGCCGCCGUCUGUCAGGGUGCGGACUCCCGCAAUGGGGCGCUGGGGGUCGGCGGCGAGUAGGUCGGUUUCCCACCCGACCCGUCUUGAAACACGGACCAAGAAGUCUAACGUGUGGGCGAGUCUUCGGGGGCUCUGCUAACCCCAGAUCGGGCGGGUUCGUCGUCUCUGGCGGCGGGCCGUCUUGCCCGUGGAAGGCGCAAUGAAAGUGAAGGCGUGCGUCGGGCUUUACCUUUUCGACGGGGGGAGAAGGGCUCACGCUCUCUCUCCUCUGCCGUGAGGUUUGGCCUGGCGCUGCGCUGCGGUGGGAUCCCCGUCCUUCAUGGCGGGGGCGCACCACCGGCCCGUCCUA